GUGCAGGAGAGGAGAAUGGAAUUCCUAGUGUAGCGGUGAAAUGUGUAGAGAUUAGGAAGAACACCAGUGGCGAAGGCGAUUCUCUGGACUGUAACUGACGCUGAGGCUAGAAAGCGUGGGGAGCAAACAGGAUUAGAUACCAUGGUAGUGCACGCCGUAAACGAUGAAUACUAGGUGUAGGGGUUGUCAUGACCUCUGUGCUGCCGCUAACGCAUUAAGUAUUCCGCCUGGGGAGUACGGUCGCAAGAUUAAAACUCAAAGGAAUUGACGGGGGCCCGCGCAAGCAGCGGAGCAUGUGGUUUAAUUUGAAGCAACGCGAAGAACUUUACCUAGACUUGACAUCUCCUGCAUUACCCUUAAUCGGGGAAGUUCCUUCGGGAACAGGAAGACAGGUGGUGCAUGGUUGUCGUCAGCUCGUGUCGUGAGAUGUUGGGUUAAGUCCCGCAAUGAGCGCAACCCUUAUUGUUAGUUGUUACCAUUUAGUUGAGCACUCUAGCGAGAUUGCCCGGGUUAACCGGGAGGAAGGUGGGGAUGACGUCAAAUCAUCAUGCCCCUUAUGUUUUGGGAUACACACGUGAUACAAUGGCAAGUACAAAGAGAAGCAAGACCGUGAGGUGGAGCAAAACUCAAAAAUUUGUCUCAGUUCGGAUUGUAGGCUGAAACUCAGCCUACAUGAAGCUGGAGUUGUUAGUAAUCGUGAAUCAGCAUGUCGCGGUGAAUACGUUCCCGGGCCUUGUACACACCGCCCGUCACACCAUGAGAGUUGGCAAUACCCAAAGUGCGUGAUGUGACUCGCAAGAGAGGAAGCGCCCUAAGGUAGGGUCAG
This 826-nucleotide ribosomal RNA is filed under the name uncultured organism. RNAcentral's name for it is "SSU rRNA". It matches the Rfam family "Bacterial small subunit ribosomal RNA", at positions 646 to 1471 of the family's 1533-position model. The record is from RNAcentral.